AGGGCCCUUUAAUAAAGGUCGGGCCCUUUAAUAAAGGUCGGGCCCUUUAAUAAAGGUCGGGCCCUUUAAUAAAGGUCGGGCCCUUUAAUAAAGGUCGGGCCCUUUAAUAAAGGUCGGGCCCUUUAAUAAAGGUCGGGCCCUUUAAUAAAGGUAGUUAGUUCAAUAGGUCUAGUUGAUUUCCUGCUUAGUUCAAUAGGUCUAGUUGGUUUCCUGCUUAGUUCAAUAGGUCUAGUUGGUUUCCUGCUUAGUUCAAUAGGUCUAGUUGGUUUCCUGCUUAGUUCAAUAGGUCUAGUUGAUUUCCUGCUUAGUUCAAUAGGUCUAGUUGGUUUCCUGCUUAGUUCAAUAGGUCUAGUUGGUUUCCUGCUUAGUUCAAUAGGUCUAGUUGGUUUCCUGCUUAGUUCAAUAGGUCUAGUUGGUUUCCUGCUUAGUUCAAUAGGUCUAGUUGGUUUCCUGCUUAGUUCAAUAGGUCUAGUUGAUUUCCUGCUUAGUUCAAUAGGUCUAGUUGAUUUCCUGCUUAGUUCAAUAGGUCUAGUUGAUUUCCUGCUUAGUUCAAUAGGUCUAGUUGGUUUCCUGCUUAGUUCAAUAGGUCUAGUUGGUUUCCUGCUUAGUUCAAUAGGUCUAGUUGGUUUCCUGCUUAGUUCAAUAGGUCUAGUUGGUUUCCUGUCUAGUUGGUUUCCUGCUUAGUUCAAUAGGUCUAGUUGGUUUCCUGCUUAGUUCAAUAGGUCUAGUUGGUUUCCUGCUUUGUUCAAAGCAUUUUUAAUCAAAUCAAAUAUAUUUAUAUAGCCCUUCUUACAUCAGCUGAUAUCUCAAAGUGCUGUACAGAAACCCAGCCUAAAACCCCAAACAGCAAGCAAGGCAGGUGUAGAAGCACGGUGGCUAGGAAAAACUCCCUAGAAAGGCCAGAACCUAGGAAGAAACCAAGAGAGGAACCAGGCUAUGUGGGGUGGCCAGUCCUCUUCUGGCUGUGCCGGGUGGAGAUUAUAACAGAACAUGGCCAAGAUGUUCAAAUGUUCAAAAAUGAGCAGCAGGGUCAAAUAAUAAUAAUCACAGUGGUUGUCGAGGGUGCAACAGGUCAGCACCUCAGGAGUAAAUGUUAGUUGGCUUUUCAUAGUCGAUCAUUGAGAGUAUCUCUACCGGUCCUGCUGUCUCUAGAGAGUUGAAAACAGCACGUCCGGUGAACAGGUCAGGGUUCCAUAGCUGCAGGCAGAACAGUUGAAACUGGAGCAGCAGCACGGCCAGGUGGACUGGGGACAGCAAGGAGUCAUCAUGCGAGGUAGUCCUGAGGCAUGGUCCUAGGGCUCAGGUCCUCUGAGAGAAAGAGAGAAUUAGAGAGAGCAUACUUAAAUUCACACAGGACACCGGAUAAGACAGGAGAAGUACUCCAGAUAUAACAAACUGACCCUAGCCCCCCGACACAUAAACUACUGCAGCAUAAACACUGGAGGCUGAGACAGGAAGGGUCAGGAGACACUGUGGCCCCAUCCGAUGAUACCCCCGGACAGGGCCAAACAGGAAGGAUAUAACCCCACCCACUUUGCCAAAGCACAGCCCCCACACCACUAGAGGGAUAUCUUCAACCACCAACUUACCAUCCUGAGACAAGGCCGAGUCUCAAUUCAUUUUUUGGGGUCUGGAUUCUGUGAUUCAGUCCUCGUUCUCCACAAGGCGUAUUUUAUAGGGCCCUAUAAAAAAUAGAGGUCCCAAAUGUCUCCCUAUUCCCUAUAUAGUGAAUUACUUCUGACUAGGGGCUCGCGUCCCUGUCCCCUGUGGUUCUGGCUUGCUGGCUGAAGGGGGUGGUGCUUGGCUACGGUUGCUAGCGUUCUGGCUUGCUGGCUGAAGGGGGGUUGCUAGGCUACGGUUGCUAGCGUUCUGGCUUGCUGGCUGAAGGGGGGUUGCUAGCGUUCUGGCUUGCUGGCUACGGUUGCUAGCGUUCUGGCUGCUUGCUGCUUGCUCACACUCUCUCUCACUUUUAAUGCACAAGAAAUAUAGUUAAAAGAAAAUGGAACAUGAUAGCCUACUGUUAGGAGUUGUCUUCUAGCCUGGUCCCAGAUCUGUUUGUGUUGUCUUGCCGACUCCAAUUGCUGUCAUUGUCAAACACAUCUGGGACCAGGCUAGUUGUCUUGUUGCCUGAAAUCCAUACCAUGGAGUGGAAUGUUGGCACAAAAACAAAUAUCUGGUACCAGGCUAACUGUGUUAUUAAUCUUGAUGUCUUACUCUG
Oncorhynchus keta (chum salmon) is the source of this 2218-nucleotide long non-coding RNA. RefSeq lists it as uncharacterized. NCBI's taxonomy places the organism in Eukaryota, Metazoa, Chordata, Actinopteri, Salmoniformes, Salmonidae. The record is from RefSeq and is a predicted model, not a curated record. The transcript has 3 exons.